UACGUAGGGGGCAAGCGUUGUCCGGAAUCAUUGGGCGUAAAGCGCGUGUAGGCGGCUCGAUAAGUCUGCUGUAAAAGUCCAGGGCUCAACCCUGGAAAGCCGGUGGAAACUGUCGAGCUAGAGUCCGGAAGAGGCGAGUGGAAUUCCUGGUGUAGCGGUGAAAUGCGCAGAUAUCAGGAGGAACACCAAUGGCGAAGGCAGCUCGCUGGGACGGUACUGACGCUGGAGACGCGAAAAGCGUGGGGAGCAAAACAGG
RNAcentral lists this ribosomal RNA (256 nucleotides) under uncultured bacterium. Its description in RNAcentral is "partial 16S ribosomal RNA". It matches the Rfam family "Bacterial small subunit ribosomal RNA", at positions 524 to 776 of the family's 1533-position model. The record is from RNAcentral.